This 467-nucleotide ribosomal RNA is filed under the name uncultured bacterium. RNAcentral's name for it is "partial 16S ribosomal RNA". It matches the Rfam family "Bacterial small subunit ribosomal RNA", at positions 28 to 506 of the family's 1533-position model. The record is from RNAcentral.
GACGAACGCUGGCGGCGUGCUUAACACAUGCAAGUCGAACGGAAAGGCCCUGCUUUUGUGGGGUGCUCGAGUGGCGAACGGGUGAGUAACACGUGAGUAACCUGCCCUUGACUUUGGGAUAACUUCAGGAAACUUGGGCUAAUACCGGAUAGGAGCUCCUGCUGCAGGGUGGGGGUUGGAAAGUUUCGGCGGUUGGGGAUGGACUCGCGGCUUAUCAGCUUGUUGGUGGGGUAGUGGCUUACCAAGGCUUUGACGGGUAGCCGGCCUGAGAGGGUGACCGGCCACAUUGGGACUGAGAUACGGCCCAGACUCCUACGGGAGGCAGCAGUGGGGAAUAUUGCACAAUGGGCGGAAGCCUGAUGCAGCAAUGACGCGUGCGGGAUGACGGCCUUCGUGUUGUAAACCGCUUUCGCCUGUGACGAAGCGUGAGUGACGGUAAUGGGUAAAGAAGCACCGGCUAACCACGU